UACGUAGGGUGCAAGCGUUGUCCGGAAUUAUUGGGCGUAAAGAGCUCGUAGGCGGUUUGUCGCGUCUGCUGGGAAAACGCGAGGCUCAACCUCGCGCCUGCAGUGGGUACGGGCAGACUAGAGUGCGGUAGGGGAGAUUGGAAUUCCUGGUGUAGCGGUGGAAUGCGCAGAUAUCAGGAGGAACACCGAUGGCGAAGGCAGAUCUCUGGGCCGUAACUGACGCUGAGGAGCGAAAGCAUGGGGAGCGAACAGG
RNAcentral lists this ribosomal RNA (253 nucleotides) under uncultured bacterium. RNAcentral's name for it is "partial 16S ribosomal RNA". It matches the Rfam family "Bacterial small subunit ribosomal RNA", at positions 524 to 776 of the family's 1533-position model. The record is from RNAcentral.